RNAcentral lists this ribosomal RNA (1683 nucleotides) under Triticum aestivum (bread wheat). RNAcentral describes it as "partial small subunit ribosomal RNA". The record is from RNAcentral. Lineage: Eukaryota; Viridiplantae; Streptophyta; Magnoliopsida; Poales; Poaceae.
AUGGGAUCAAAAUUUAAUGCAUUGUGGAAAAAUGAGUUACUUGCCCUGGGCAAAGAUGAUAAAGAUAAAGCAAUCACAGUAAGAAAUGAUUAUCCGAAGCCCCCUAUCCCUUGUUUUGAAGUUACUGAGGGUUUUGAUUUGGAAAAGGUUGAGGAGCUUAUGCUAGAAAGGGAGAUUAAGAUCGCCAAGUCCAUGGCAAAUGACAUAAUCAUCCCAGACCCUGCUCCCAAGUUUGUGGGUGAUGCCUUCUUGGACAUAUAUGCCAAAUUGGAGCACAUCCUUGUAAAGGAUAGUGUCCGGUGCUUCCUCCGAUUUUUCGAGAACUGUGAAGGCCAGGGCAUGUCAUCUUAUCUUACCAUCACCGCACAAACCUUAACCUUCAUUGUCGGUUUCAAUGCCCUGCGAUGUGCAAAAGUCGUAUUGGAGGGCAUGGCACCUGAGCUCUAUGGGAUGCACGCCAAUCCCAACUGCAUAAACAAAUAUGGAUACUUCGUGCUCCAUGAAGCUGCUGAAAGGUUCUCUGUUGACAUGAUCAAGCUGCUUUUACGCCAUGGUGCAUCAGCCAAUGUGCGCACAGUUGGCAAUGAUGUCAUUGAGAAUCUACUCCCGCUCCAUGUCGCAGUUGAGAAUACUUGCCUGCAUAAGUAUCUGGAGGACAAUCUGGAGGACAAUCCUUCUCGCAGCCAGAAUCAUGAGGAUUAUGUCUACAAGCUUAUUCAUCUGCUGUGUCUACCUGAAAUGAAGAUCUUCUUGGACACAAUUAGACUGCUUGCAGAGAAAACAAAUAAUCUACUCGAAGAGCUCUGGAAUUAUAUUGAGGAUGGAAAAAUUAUCCAGUCUGCUGUUCUACUACUGGCUGCUCAAGAGCAGAUCCGUGGGGUUAGUUCUUCCAAGAUAAAUGGCAGUAGUAAGAAAAAUGGGUUUGAAAUCAUCGAGAAGUGUAUAACGAGGCAUUCAUAUGCCUUGAGAAACGAGAAAGGUUCACUUGGAAUGGCACAGGAGCUUCUGGAGGAAAGGAAGACGCUUAACGAUUGUGCAUGGCUGCUUGUUGAUGUAAUUUCCCAUGCCGGUGAAGAUCUUUCUGCAUACAUUCAAGCGCAUUCUGUGGUGUCCCAUGUGGAGGUCUUUCAACAUGUUUCAUCUAUUCUCAAGGAGUGUGGAUUUUGCCCUACUGGAGAUCUUAUGGACACUAUAAACCUCCAGCCUUAUGACUGCAGAAAGUCAAACGGAGAGUCAUGCAAAGGGCUUACAGAUGCAAACAUGGCAGUUAUGGAAUCAGCCAAGCUGAAUGCUGCAGAGAAGAAGGUCACAACUGUUGGAAAUGACGGCCUCUCCCUUAUGGCACAACAGCACACUACACAAACACAGGCUGUGAGAAAGAAAGUAGGCGGAGGAUGGGAUCCCAAGUAUACAAAGAGAAGCUUUUUCCCAUAUUGGAGAUCAGUGUUACAAGCUGGGGUUCCUUUGAAGGUGUAUCCAGCCCAUGCAAGCUCAGAUCCUAGGUCUCGUGUUAACCAUGGACAACUCCAUGUCUCUCUGAGUAACUCAAUAGCCAAUGGAUCUACAACAACUCCAAAUCAUAAACUUGGUCGAACCUCGCCACUUACAAGCAAUAAUCAACCCAGAAGGUGCUUUGUCACUGCUGCUACUGGUGCAUUCAGGCUCUUGAAGGUGCUAAAGUAG